This 468-nucleotide ribosomal RNA is filed under the name uncultured bacterium. RNAcentral's name for it is "partial 16S ribosomal RNA". It matches the Rfam family "Bacterial small subunit ribosomal RNA", at positions 28 to 507 of the family's 1533-position model. The record is from RNAcentral.
GACGAACGCUGGCGGCGUGCUUAACACAUGCAAGUCGAACGGAAAGGCCCUGCUUUUGUGGGGUGCUCGAGUGGCGAACGGGUGAGUAACACGUGAGUAACCUGCCCUUGACUUUGGGAUAACUUCAGGAAACUGGGGCUAAUACCGGAUAGGAGCUCCUGCUGCAUGGAGGGGGUUGGAAAGUUUCGGCGGUUGGGGAUGGACUCGCGGCUUAUCAGCUUGUUGGUGGGGUAGUGGCUUACCAAGGCUUUGACGGGUAGCCGGCCUGAGAGGGUGACCGGCCACAUUGGGACUGAGAGACGGCCCAGAGUCCAACGGGAGACAGCAGUGGGGAAUAUUGCACAAUGGGCGGAAGCCUGAUGCAGCAACGCCGCGUGCGGGAUGACGGCCUUCGGGUUGUAAACCGCUUUCGCCUGUGACGAAGCGUGAGUGACGGUAAUGGGUAAAGAAGCACCGGCUAACUACGUG